AAGAAAUUUUGAAGAGACAGAGAUCUUAUACCACUGUUGUGGCUGAGUUUGAUCUUGUGAUGCAGACAGUGAAAGCUGGAACUCGUGAUUCAGAAUCUUGUUUGAAAGAGGAGACCUGCCUUCCAUUAGGGGGAUACAGUGUUUGGUCAUCACUUCCUCCGCUUAAUAUCUCCUCCUUAGAUCAGGGUAAGCCUAUUAUAUUGACUGUGGCGUCAAUGGAUUCGGCUUCAUUUUUCCGUGACAAAAGCCUUGGUGCAGACUCCCCAAUAUCA
Molecule: long non-coding RNA, 272 nt
Organism: Humulus lupulus (European hop)
Lineage: Eukaryota; Viridiplantae; Streptophyta; Magnoliopsida; Rosales; Cannabaceae
Exons: 3
Source: RefSeq, a predicted model, not a curated record